This 451-nucleotide ribosomal RNA is filed under the name uncultured bacterium. Its description in RNAcentral is "bacterial SSU rRNA". It matches the Rfam family "Bacterial small subunit ribosomal RNA", at positions 956 to 1408 of the family's 1533-position model. The record is from RNAcentral.
CGGCCGCGUCGACCCUUACCAGGACUUGACAUGUCGCGAAUCCAGUGGAAACACAGGAGUGCCUUCGGGAGCGCGAACACAGGUGGUGCAUGGCUGUCGUCAGCUGUGUCGUGAGAUGUUGGGUUAAGUCCCGCAACGAGCGCAACCCCUAUUGUUAGUUGCCAUCAUUAAGUUGGGCACUCUAACGAGACUGCCGGUGAUAAACCGGAGGAAGGUGGGGAUGACGUCAAAUCAUCAUGCCCCUUAUGACCUGGGCUACACACGUGCUACAAUGGAUGGUACAACGAGUCGCGAGACAGUGAUGUUUAGCUAAUCUCUUAAAACCAUUCUCAGUUCGGAUUGUAGGCUGCAACUCGCCUACAUGAAGUCGGAAUCGCUAGUAAUCGCGGAUCAGCACGCCGCGGUGAAUACCGUUCCCGGGCCUUGUACACACCGCCCGUCGACGCGGCCG